GUCGUCACCGCCACCGAUCCCCUUAAAGUAUACCUAUAAUAUCCACAGGGAAAUCUGUUAAUUGCUUAUUUCGUGUGCCCGCCAAUAAUACCUCUCCAUUGUCCAAAACGAGCCACUUAGAGGAGUGUCCGUACGAACCACCUCAGACAUCCAUUAUUUUACCCCUCUAGACAACGCGCUAUUUGAUGACAAGUCUAAAUUACCACAUCGUUUGAAACUGCUAAGAAUCAUCGACAGAAUAACUAUCACUCAUUGAAAGAUCACAUUGCCAGCGACACAAAGUUUUGUUUAAUUUUUGACUUGUGAGGAAUGCCAACAAUGCUGAAAUGUGUUUUAAAAAUGAACGAUCCAGAAAUCGGGGACUAUUACCUUCGUAUGCCCAACAUUCAAACAUUUCAUGAUGUCUAAAAAAAACGGUUGUUGUACAUCACAGGCGUACAAAAAUUGUUUAAAACCUUUGAAGCAGAAGAACAAAUACAUAUUUAUUCGACUGGUCGAUUUUUUGACUCCAGAACACAAUUUUUUAAUCAUGAAAAUGCACAUAAAGAAAUAGUGGAUUAUGACCCAUCAAAAUUUGUCACCAUGACAUUUAAUUAAUUUUUUUUUGUUUUCACU
Molecule: long non-coding RNA, 615 nt
Organism: Myzus persicae (green peach aphid)
Lineage: Eukaryota; Metazoa; Arthropoda; Insecta; Hemiptera; Aphididae
Exons: 5
Source: RefSeq, a predicted model, not a curated record